AACGAACGCUGGCGGCGUGCCUAACACAUGCAAGUCGUGCGAGAAAGUUCCUUCGGGAGCGAGUAAAGCGGCGCACGGGUGAGUAACACGUAGGUAACCUGCCCCCCAGUCUGGAACAACUAGAGGAACUCUAGCUAAUGCCGGAUGAGACCACGAUCCCUUCGGGGGUUGCGGCCAAAGAUGGCCUCUACUUGUAAGCUAUCGCUGAGGGAUGGGCCUGCGGGCCAUUAGCUUGUUGGUGAGGUAACGGCUCACCAAGGCUGUGAUGGCUAGCUGGUCUGAGAGGAUGACCAGCCACACUGGGACUGAGACACGGCCCAGACUCCUACGGGAGGCAGCAGUGGGAAUAUUGCGCAAUGGGCGAAAGCCUGACGCAGCGACGCCGCGUGGGUGAGUGAAGGCCUU
RNAcentral lists this ribosomal RNA (405 nucleotides) under uncultured bacterium. Its description in RNAcentral is "bacterial SSU rRNA". It matches the Rfam family "Bacterial small subunit ribosomal RNA", at positions 29 to 418 of the family's 1533-position model. The record is from RNAcentral.